Long non-coding RNA from Oncorhynchus keta (chum salmon), 344 nucleotides. RefSeq lists it as uncharacterized. Lineage: Eukaryota; Metazoa; Chordata; Actinopteri; Salmoniformes; Salmonidae. The transcript has 3 exons. The record is from RefSeq and is a predicted model, not a curated record.
UGGGUGUUACUUUGACAUAAACAGACAGGUGCUGGGGAGUGGGUGUUACUUUGACAUGAACAGACAGGUGCUGGGGAGUGGGUGUUACUUUGACAUGAACAGACAGGUGCUGGGGAGUGGGUGUUACUUUGACAUGAACAGACAGGUGCUGGGGAGUGGGUGUUACUUUGACAUGAACAGACAGGUGCUGGGGAGUGGGUGUUACUUUGACAUGAACAGACAGGUGCUGGGGAGUGGGUGUUACUUUGACAUGAACAGACAGGUGCUGGGGAGUGGGUGCUACUUUGACAUGAACAGACAGGUGCUGGGGAGUGGGUGUUACUUUGACAUGAACAGACAGGUGC